This 484-nucleotide ribosomal RNA is filed under the name uncultured bacterium. RNAcentral's name for it is "partial 16S ribosomal RNA". It matches the Rfam family "Bacterial small subunit ribosomal RNA", at positions 30 to 507 of the family's 1533-position model. The record is from RNAcentral.
AUUGAACGCUGGCGGCAGGCCUAACACAUGCAAGUCGAGCGGAUGAAGGGAGCUUGCUCCUGGAUUCAGCGGCGGACGGGUGAGUAAUGCCUAGGAAUCUGCCUGGUAGUGGGGGAUAACGUCCGGAAACGGGCGCUAAUACCGCAUACGUCCUGAGGGAGAAAGUGGGGGAUCUUCGGACCUCACGCUAUCAGAUGAGCCUAGGUCGGAUUAGCUAGUUGGUGGGGUAAAGGCCUACCAAGGCGACGAUCCGUAACUGGUCUGAGAGGAUGAUCAGUCACACUGGAACUGAGACACGGUCCAGACUCCUACGGGAGGCAGCAGUGGGGAAUAUUGGACAAUGGGCGAAAGCCUGAUCCAGCCAUGCCGCGUGUGUGAAGAAGGUCUUCGGAUUGUAAAGCACUUUAAGUUGGGAGGAAGGGCAGUAAGUUAAUACCCUGCUGUUUUGACGUUACCGACAGAAUAAGCACCGGCUAACUUCGUG